Molecule: ribosomal RNA, 465 nt
Filed under: uncultured bacterium
Lineage: Bacteria
Description: SSU rRNA
Rfam family: Bacterial small subunit ribosomal RNA
Source: RNAcentral
AGGACUAACGCUGGCGGCGUGCCUAACACAUGCAAGUCGAACGGACGUAGCAAUACGUUAGUGGCAGACGGGUGAGUAACACGUAGAUAACGUACCCCUCCGCUGGGGAUAGCCACUGGAAACGGUGGGUAAAACCGAAUACUCUUCAAUUAGGACAUCCUAGUUGAAGGAAAACUUUGGUGUGGAGGGAUCGGUUUGCGACCUAUCAGCUAGUUGGUGAGGUAAUGGCUCACCAAGGCGACGACGGGUAACCGGUCUGAGAGGACGGUCGGUCACACUGGCACUGAGAUACGGGCCAGACUCCUACGGGAGGCAGCAGUGAGGGAUUUUGCACAAUGGAGGAAACUCUGAUGCAGCGACGCCGCGUGCGGGACGAAGCCUUUCGGGGUGUAAACCGCUGUCAGUGGGGAAGAGUAGGGACGGUACCCACUGAGGAGCAUCGGCUAACUACGCGCCAGCAGCCGC